GCCUGGAUGGCUCAGUGGAUGAGCAUCUGCCUUCGGCUCAGGUCGUGAUCCUGGAGUCCUGGGAUCGAGUCCCAUACCAGGCU
Molecule: non-coding RNA, 83 nt
Organism: Canis lupus familiaris (dog)
Lineage: Eukaryota; Metazoa; Chordata; Mammalia; Carnivora; Canidae
Source: Rfam